RNAcentral lists this ribosomal RNA (253 nucleotides) under uncultured bacterium. RNAcentral describes it as "partial 16S ribosomal RNA". It matches the Rfam family "Bacterial small subunit ribosomal RNA", at positions 524 to 776 of the family's 1533-position model. The record is from RNAcentral.
UACGUAGGGGGCUAGCGUUGUCCGGAAUCAUUGGGCGUAAAGCGCGUGUAGGCGGUCCGGUAAGUCCGCUGUGAAAGUCGGGGGCUCAACCCUCGAAUGCCGGUGGAUACUGUCGGGCUAGAGUGCGGAAGAGGCGAGUGGAAUUCCUGGUGUAGCGGUGAAAUGCGCAGAUAUCAGGAGGAACACCAAUAGCGAAGGCAGCUCGCUGGGACGGUACUGACGCUAAGGCGCGAAAGCGUGGGGAGCGAACAGG